RNAcentral lists this ribosomal RNA (782 nucleotides) under uncultured Rubrobacterales bacterium. RNAcentral describes it as "bacterial SSU rRNA". It matches the Rfam family "Bacterial small subunit ribosomal RNA", at positions 24 to 794 of the family's 1533-position model. Lineage: Bacteria; Bacillati; Actinomycetota; Rubrobacteria; Rubrobacterales. The record is from RNAcentral.
UCAGGACGAACGCUGGCGGCGCGCUUAACACAUGCAAGUCGAGCGAGAACCGGGCCUUCGGGCCUGGGGAAAGCGGCGAACGGGUGAGUAACACGUGGGUAACCCACCCUUGGUACUGGGAUAGCCCGGGGAAACCCGGAUUAAUACCGGAUGGCCCAACAGCUCUUCGGGGCGGUUGGAAAAGGUAGCUUCGGCCUCCGACCAAGGNCGGGCCCGCGGCGGAUUAGCUUGUUGGUGGGGUAAUGGCCCACCAAGGCGACGAUCCGUAGCUGGUCUGAGAGGACGAUCAGCCACACUGGGACUGAGACACGGCCCAGACUCCUACGGGAGGCAGCAGUGGGGAAUCUUGCGCAAUGGGCGAAAGCCUGACGCAGCGACGCCGCGUGGGGAAGAAGGCUUUCGGGUUGUAAACCCCUUUCAGGAAGGACGAAGCCACUCGGGUGAAUAGCCCAGAGGGUGACGGUACUUCCAGAAGAAGCCCCGGCUAACUACGUGCCAGCAGCCGCGGUAAUACGUAGGGGGCAAGCGUUGUCCGGAUUUAUUGGGCGUAAAGAGCGUGUAGGCGGUUUGGUAGGUCCGCUGUGAAAACUCGAGGCUCAACCUCGAGACGCCGGUGGAAACCAUCAGGCUAGAGUCCGGAAGAGGAGAGUGGAAUUCCUGGUGUAGCGGUGAAAUGCGCAGAUAUCAGGAAGAACACCCGUGGCUAAGGCGGCUCUCUAGUACGGUACUGACGCUGAGACGCGAAAGCGUGGGGAGCGAACAGGAUUAGAUACCCUGGUAGU